RNAcentral lists this ribosomal RNA (490 nucleotides) under uncultured bacterium. Its description in RNAcentral is "partial 16S ribosomal RNA". It matches the Rfam family "Bacterial small subunit ribosomal RNA", at positions 30 to 507 of the family's 1533-position model. The record is from RNAcentral.
AUUGAACGCUGGCGGCAGGCUUAACACAUGCGAGUCGAGCGGUAACAGAGAGAAGCUUGCUUCUCUGCUGACGAGCGGCGGACGGGUGAGUAAUGCCUAGGAAUCUGCCUAGUAGUGGGGGAUAACUUGCCGAAAGGUAAGCUAAUACCGCAUACGUCCUACGGGAGAAAGGAGGGGACCUUCGGGCCUUUCGCUAUUAGAUGAGCCUAGGUCGGAUUAGUUAGUUGGUGAGGUAAUGGCUCACCAAGACCGCGAUCCGUAACUGGUCUGAGAGGAUGAUCAGUCACACUGGAACUGAGACACGGUCCAGACUCCUACGGGAGGCAGCAGUGGGGAAUAUUGGACAAUGGGGGGAACCCUGAUCCAGCCAUGCCGCGUGUGUGAAGAAGGUCUUAGGAUUGUAAAGCACUUUAAGUUGGGAGGAAGAGCAGUUAACUAAUAUUUGACUGUUUUGACGUUACCGACAGAAUAAGCACCGGCUAACUUCGUG